UUUCUUCCAAGCCCUUGUCAUUCUCUCGCCUUGUGUAUUCUAUCGACUGGACGGAGAACUGAUAAGGGCUUGUAGGAAG
This 79-nucleotide microRNA precursor is filed under the name Dendroctonus ponderosae (mountain pine beetle). Its description in RNAcentral is "mir-184 microRNA precursor family". It matches the Rfam family "mir-184 microRNA precursor family". Lineage: Eukaryota; Metazoa; Arthropoda; Insecta; Coleoptera; Curculionidae. The record is from Rfam by way of RNAcentral.